UUAGACUGGGAUAACAGCGGGAAACUGGUGCUAAUACCGCAUAUGUGUAAGCUGAAAUGCUUAUCAUGAAAGCUCCGGCGCCCUAAGAUGAGCUGCGGCUGAUUAGCUAGUUGGUGGGGUAAUGGCUUACCAAGGCGACGAUCAGUAGCUGGUCUAAGAGGAUGAUCAGCCACAAUGGGACUGAGACACGGCCCAUACUCCUACGGGAGGCAGCAGUAGGGAAUAUUGCGCAAUGGACGAAAGUCUGACGCAGCAACACCGCGUGAGGGUUGAAGCUUUUUGGAGUGUAAACCUCUGUCAGUGGGGACGAAUAAAUGACGGUACCCACAAAGGAAGCAUCGGCUAACUACGUGCCAGCAGCCGCGGUAAGACGUAGGAUGCAAGCGUUGUCCGGAAUUAUUGGGCGUAAAGAGUUCGUAGGCGGUCUAUCAAGUCUGGUGUUAAAUCCCGGGGCUCAACUCCGGACCGGCACUGGAUACUGGCAGGCUAGAGUGCAGUAGAGGCAAGGGGAAUUCCCGGUGUAGCGGUGAAAUACGUAGAUAUUGGGAGGAACACCGGUGGCGUAAGCGCCUUGCUGGGCUGUUACUGACGCUGAGGAACGAAAGCCAGGGGAGCAAA
This 618-nucleotide ribosomal RNA is filed under the name uncultured bacterium. Its description in RNAcentral is "bacterial SSU rRNA". It matches the Rfam family "Bacterial small subunit ribosomal RNA", at positions 131 to 772 of the family's 1533-position model. The record is from RNAcentral.